Molecule: long non-coding RNA, 313 nt
Filed under: Carica papaya (papaya)
Lineage: Eukaryota; Viridiplantae; Streptophyta; Magnoliopsida; Brassicales; Caricaceae
Description: long non-coding RNA (CPAP_LNC001334)
Source: RNAcentral
AAACAGACAUCAAGAGAAUUAAAUCCAAAAGAUAACUGAAUAAUAAUUCCCAAAUAUACUUCAUAUUCAGACCACUAUUUCCCUCUUUUUUUAAUUUCCUAUCCCUCUCUCGUUCUCAUCCUUUUAAUUUUCCUCCUAGGUUUCUAACAUAUUUCCUCUGUUCUCUCAUCAUAGCUAUCCACAUGAUAAUUCCAUCAUUUCGUCCAAUCUUCUAUUUAUCCUCAGAUCUCACUCUCCAUUUUUUUUUGUUUUUACUCCUAGUUCUAUUCUGAUUUCAAGAAAAUGUCCCUAUUCUAAGAUCAACUAAUUUCUU